This 253-nucleotide ribosomal RNA is filed under the name uncultured bacterium. RNAcentral's name for it is "partial 16S ribosomal RNA". It matches the Rfam family "Bacterial small subunit ribosomal RNA", at positions 524 to 776 of the family's 1533-position model. The record is from RNAcentral.
UACGGGGGGGGCAAGCGUUGUUCGGAAUUACUGGGCGUAAAGGGCUCGUAGGCGGCCAACUAAGUCAGACGUGAAAUCCCUCGGCUUAACCGGGGAACUGCGUCUGAUACUGGAUGGCUUGAAUCCGGGAGAGGGAUGCGGAAUUCCAGGUGUAGCGGUGAAAUGCGUAGAUAUCUGGAGGAACACCGGUGGCGAAGGCGGCGUUCUGGACUGCAACUGACACUGAGAAACGAAAGCCAGGGUAGCAAACGGG